Molecule: non-coding RNA, 107 nt
Organism: Pseudonaja textilis
Lineage: Eukaryota; Metazoa; Chordata; Lepidosauria; Squamata; Elapidae
Source: RefSeq, a predicted model, not a curated record
GUCCAAAACUCUUCUUAAAAACCUCCAGUCAUGGGAGCACCCCCAACUUCUAGAAGGCAAAUUGUUCCACUGGUUAAUUGUUCUCACUACGAGGAAGUUUCUCCUUG